GACGAACGCUGGCGGCGUGCCUAAUACAUGCAAGUCGAACGCUUCUUUCCUCCCGAGUGCUUGCACUCAAUUGGAAAGAGGAGUGGCGGACGGGUGAGUAACACGUGGGUAACCUACCCAUCAGAGGGGGAUAACACUUGGAAACAGGUGCUAAUACCGCAUAACAGUUUAUGCCGCAUGGCAUAAGAGUGAAAGGCGCUUUCGGGUGUCGCUGAUGGAUGGACCCGCGGUGCAUUAGCUAGUUGGUGGGGUAACGGCUCACCAAGGCCAGGAUGCAUAGCCGACCUGAGAGGCUGCUCGGCCACACUGGGAUUGAGACACGGCCAAGACUCCUACGGGAGGCACCAGUCGGGAAUCUUCGGCAAUGGACGAAAGUCUGACCGAGCAACGCCGCGUGCGUGAAGAAGGUUUUCGGAUCGUAAAACUCUGUUGUUAGAGAAGAACAAGGACGUUAGUAACUGAACGUCCCCUGACGGUAUCUAACCAGAAAGCCACGGCUAACUACGUG
Molecule: ribosomal RNA, 508 nt
Filed under: uncultured bacterium
Lineage: Bacteria
Description: partial 16S ribosomal RNA
Rfam family: Bacterial small subunit ribosomal RNA
Source: RNAcentral